GUGGGGAAUAUUGGGCAAUGGGGGCAACCCUGACCCAGCGACGCCGCGUGAGGGAAGAAGGCCUUAGGGUCGUAAACCUCUGUUGUGUGGGAAGAAGGAAGUGACGGUACCACACGAGGAAGUCCCGGCUAACUACGUGCCAGCAGCCGCGGUAAUACGUAGGGGACGAGCGUUGUCCGGAUUUACUGGGCGUAAAGGGCGCGUAGGCGGUCAUUUAAGUCAGCUGUGAAAUGGUUUGGCUUAACCGGAUCAUGCGGUUGAAACUGGAUGACUGGAGUGCUGGAGAGGCAAGUGGAAUUCCCAGUGUAGCGGUGAAAUGCGUAGAUAUUGGGAAGAACACCGGUGGCGAAGGCGACUUGCUGGCCAGCAACUGACGCUGAGGCGCGAAAGCCAGGGGAGCAAACGGGAUUAGAUACCCGGGUAGUCC
Molecule: ribosomal RNA, 427 nt
Filed under: uncultured bacterium
Lineage: Bacteria
Description: partial 16S ribosomal RNA
Rfam family: Bacterial small subunit ribosomal RNA
Source: RNAcentral